GUCGGAUAGUAUCCUUACGUGAAUACAUAGCGUGAGGAAGGCAGACCCAGGGAACUGAAACAUCUAAGUACCUGGAGGAAGAGAAAGAAAAAUCGAUUUCCUGAGUAGCGGCGAGCGAAACGGAAAGAGCCCAAACCAAGAAGCUUGCUUCUUGGGGUUGUAGGACACUCUAUACGGAGUUACAAAAGAAAGUUAUAAAUGAAGCGGUCUGGAAAGGCCCGCCAAAGACGGUAACAGCCCGGUAGUUGAAAUGGCUUUCCCUCCAGAGUGGAUCCUGAGUACGGCGGAACACGUGAAAUUCCGUCGGAAUCCGGGAGGACCAUCUCCCAAGGCUAAAUACUCCCUAGUGACCGAUAGUGAACCAGUACCGUGAGGGAAAGGUGAAAAGCACCCCGGAAGGGGAGUGAAACAGUUCCUGAAACCGUGUGCCUACAAGUAGUUAGAGCCCGUUAAUGGGUGAUAGCGUGCCUUUUGUAGAAUGAACCGGCGAGUUACGAUUUGUUGCAAGGUUAAGCGGAAAAAGCGGAGCCGUAGCGAAAGCGAGUCUGAAUAGGGCGCAUAAGUAACAGGUCGUAGACCCGAAACCAGGUGAUCUACCCAUGUCCAGGAUGAAGGUAAGGUAAUACUUACUGGAGGUCCGAACCCACGCACGUUGAAAAGUGCGGGGAUGAGGUGUGGGUAGCGGAGAAAUUCCAAUCGAACUUGGAGAUAGCUGGUUCUCUCCGAAAUAGCUUUAGGGCUAGCCUCGAGGUAAAGAGUCAUGGAGGUAGAGCACUGUUUGGACUAGGGGCCCUUCUCGGGUUACCGAAUUCAGAUAAACUCCGAAUGCCAUGUACUUAUACUCGGGAGUCAGACUGCGAGUGAUAAGAUCCGUAGUCGAAAGGGAAACAGCCCAGACCACCAGUUAAGGUCCCCAAAUAUAUGUUAAGUGGAAAAGGAUGUGGGGUUGCUUAGACAACCAGGAUGUUGGCUUAGAAGCAGCCACCAUUGAAAGAGUGCGUAAUAGCUCACUGGUCGAGUGACCCCGCGCCGAAAAUGUACCGGGGCUAAACAUAUUACCGAAACUGUGGAUGAACCUCUUCGGAGGUUCGUGGUAGGAGAGCGUUCUAAGGGCGGUGAAGUCAGACCGGAAGGACUGGUGGAGCGCUUAGAAGUGAGAAUGCCGGUAUGAGUAGCGAAAGAAGGGUGAGAAUCCCUUCCACCGAAUAUCUAAGGUUUCCUGAGGAAGGCUCGUCCGCUCAGGGUUAGUCGGGACCUAAGCCGAGGCCGAUAGGCGUAGGCGAUGGACAACAGGUAGAGAUUCCUGUACCAGUGCUAAUUGUUUAACCGAUGGGGUGACACAGAAGGAUAGGGAAUCGCACGAAUGGAAAUGUGCGUCCAAGCAGUGAGUGUGA
Molecule: ribosomal RNA, 1394 nt
Filed under: Listeria innocua
Lineage: Bacteria; Bacillati; Bacillota; Bacilli; Caryophanales; Listeriaceae
Description: partial 23S ribosomal RNA
Rfam family: Bacterial large subunit ribosomal RNA
Source: RNAcentral